Molecule: small nuclear RNA, 229 nt
Filed under: Jaculus jaculus (lesser Egyptian jerboa)
Lineage: Eukaryota; Metazoa; Chordata; Mammalia; Rodentia; Dipodidae
Description: 7SK RNA (ENSJJAG00000004349.1)
Source: RNAcentral
UCCAAACAACCUCUCAAGAGGUUCCAGGAAAAAAGUAGUGCCUUGUUGCCUGGCUACCCUUGACUUUUACUAGUGAGUGGAUCCCCCCUGUUGUUUCUACCACUCAUGGACAUUGGAAGACACACAUAUGGUAUGAAGGGAGGGUACACCUGCCUAGCCAGCCAGAUCAGCCAUAUCAACUUUGAUGAGCAGUGGGAUGACAGAUGUCACAGAGAAAUUUCCCUCACAU